GAACGCCGGCGGCGUGCCUAAUACAUGCAAGUCGAGCGAACAGACGAGGAGCUUGCUCCUCUGACGUUAGCGGCGGACGGGUGAGUAACACGUGGAUAACCUACCUAUAAGACUGGGAUAACUUCGGGAAACCGGAGCUAAUACCGGAUAAUAUAUUGAACCGCAUGGUUCAAUAGUGAAAGACGGUUUUGCUGUCACUUAUAGAUGGAUCCGCGCCGCAUUAGCUAGUUGGUAAGGUAACGGCUUACCAAGGCAACGAUGCGUAGCCGACCUGAGAGGGUGAUCGGCCACACUGGAACUGAGACACGGUCCAGACUCCUACGGGAGGCAGCAGUAGGGAAUCUUCCGCAAUGGGCGAAAGCCUGACGGAGCAACGCCGCGUGAGUGAUGAAGGUCUUCGGAUCGUAAAACUCUGUUAUUAGGGAAGAACAAAUGUGUAAGUAACUAU
RNAcentral lists this ribosomal RNA (448 nucleotides) under bacterium Urfc123. RNAcentral describes it as "bacterial SSU rRNA". It matches the Rfam family "Bacterial small subunit ribosomal RNA", at positions 31 to 467 of the family's 1533-position model. The record is from RNAcentral.